RNAcentral lists this ribosomal RNA (304 nucleotides) under Entamoeba suis. RNAcentral describes it as "SSU rRNA". It matches the Rfam family "Eukaryotic small subunit ribosomal RNA", at positions 193 to 505 of the family's 1831-position model. Lineage: Eukaryota; Evosea; Mastigamoebida; Endamoebidae. The record is from RNAcentral.
GGCAUAACUAUCAUCUGAUAGUUAUAGGAAAGAAGUUUAUUAAGAAAAAGAACAAAUUUUACAAUUGUAGAAAUCGUAAGAUUUUAACAAGUAAUCAAUGAAAAUAUCUGAUCUAUCAACUAGUUGGUAGUAUAGAGGACUACCAAGGUUAUAACGGAUAACGAGAAAUUAGGGUUUGACAUCGGAGAAGGAGCUUUAAAAAUGGCUACUACUUCUAAGGAAGGCAGCAGGCGCGUAAAUUACCCACUUUUAACAUAAAGAGGUAGUGACGACAAAUAACUCUUUUAAAGCCGUAGGGUUUUAA